RNAcentral lists this long non-coding RNA (791 nucleotides) under Chrysemys picta bellii (western painted turtle). Its description in RNAcentral is "lncRNA (ENSCPBG00000000741.1)". Lineage: Eukaryota; Metazoa; Chordata; Testudines; Emydidae. The record is from RNAcentral.
GGAGGGGGCAGUGUCCCGUGGCCCCUCCUUAACUGCUCCCUCCCCCUGGCUGCAGGAAGGCUGGAGCAGGUGUGAGGAGCUGUGGGUGCAACAGCUCCCCCUACAGGCCCGGGAGCAGCGCGGCACUGCCCAGCUGGCCUCCCUCCUCCAGGAGAUGCACCGGCUGCUGGCGGACGGCUCGGAGCGCGCCAUCCUUGCCAGGGCGAAAAGCAGCAGCACGUCUGGGCGCUGAUCAAAGGCACCUCCUACAUCAAAUCCCAGCUCCGCAAGGACCAGGCCGAGGUGAGACACCCCCACCCGCCCGCACUAAGGAGGAGGCUGUGGGGCAAGACUGAGGGGUACCGGCAGGGCUGGGGGAGUGGAGCCCAGGGCUGGGACUGAGGGGCACCAGCAUGGUCUCCCCCCACUCUCUCUCAGGUCCAGGCCUUCGUGCAGAGGAAGCUGCUGGGCCCGGAGCAGGACGUGACGCUGGAGUCGCAGCGGCUGCACGGGGGGGGUGGAGCGCGAGGUCCGGCAGCUGGGGGCCAUCGCCCUCCCCUGCCUUCUGCGCCGCAGCCUCCUGGGGUCCCAGCAGGUCCCGGCCCACGAGCUCUCCAUCCAUAGGCUGGGCCGGACGGCGCUCGCCCAGCACCGGGCCUUCCUCACUGUGUGCCAGGCUUCCGGCUUCCCUCUCUACAAGGUGAGACGCACACUUGGUGGAGCAAUGGGGCAGGGAGCGGGGAGGUCUCUGCACAGGGCAGGAGUGAGGCCCUCUUCUGGGGGGAGAUGGGAUGGGGGGCCCUGGAGGAGGG